GCCUCCGUAGCUUAAUUGGAAGCACCUCUUCUCCGUGAAUUUGAUAUCCGCUCAAUUAAGAGGAUGUGGGUUCGACUCCCACCGGACGCC
Non-coding RNA from Mycena alexandri, 90 nucleotides. NCBI's taxonomy places the organism in Eukaryota, Fungi, Basidiomycota, Agaricomycetes, Agaricales, Mycenaceae. The record is from the annotation of a GenBank genome assembly.